GCUGUGUCUUUCCGGGUCCAGCGCCUGCUGCGAGCAACUCGCUGUUCUAGGGGCGAAGCCGAGAACUACUUCUCGUGGAGCUGAGGUUCAGCGGUGUAUGUGUGGGACACUCACAAUAAACAUCAUAAAUAAGUGAAUUCUAUAAGAGGCUGCGUAGCAAAAUGGAGUCUGCAGCCAGAUUUAUUGGGUUUCAAUCCCAGAUUUGCCACUUACUAGCUGUGUUACGCCGAGCAAAUUGCUUCAUCCUUCUGUGCUUCACUUUCCUCCUCAGUUAAAUGAGGAUCAUCAUAGUGUCUACUUCAGAGUUGGUGUGAGAGUUGAAUGAGGAUACUCUCUGUGAGCCCAGCUGCCAUGUUGUGAGGAAGCCCAAGCCACGUGAAGAGUCUCCCAGAUAAGGUCCCAGCCGAAACCAGCAUCAACCACCAGAGAAGUAAGUGAGAGAACAUUGAGAUGAUUCCAGCCCCCAGGCUUUGAGCCAUCCCAGCUGACACCAAGAGGAGCAGAGAGAGAACUGUUCCCAGCAAGCCCGGCCCAAACUACAGUAACUACUUCCUCAAGUCCAUGGGCGACACUCAACUUGAGCUAAGAACGGGGAGUAAACACUCAGCAGAAGUAAAGCACAUCGAACGGAUAAGACAUUGGCCAUAAAUGCUUCUGACAGCGCCCCAGCCCAGUCGGGCCAGGCGGAUUCCUGAGCGGGGAGCUCCAACUCCCAUGGGGAACCAAGAGCAAACACCGGGUUUUUAUGUGAAUCUCCAGAUUUUUUUUUAAACCUUGUCAAUAAAGUCACAUCAAACAAACAAACAAAAGCACUAUGUGAGUGGAAUGUAUCAGGAGGCAGAUGGGCCACUUCACAGUCUCACUGUUGCCCGAACUCAGGCCUCCUGAUGUAAACACCUGGGAGGUUUGUUACUCAGCAAAUCAGACUAUGCU
Long non-coding RNA from Balaenoptera musculus (blue whale), 933 nucleotides. RefSeq lists it as uncharacterized. The transcript has 3 exons. Lineage: Eukaryota; Metazoa; Chordata; Mammalia; Artiodactyla; Balaenopteridae. The record is from RefSeq and is a predicted model, not a curated record.